Molecule: ribosomal RNA, 253 nt
Filed under: uncultured bacterium
Lineage: Bacteria
Description: partial 16S ribosomal RNA
Rfam family: Bacterial small subunit ribosomal RNA
Source: RNAcentral
CACGUAGGGCGCAAGCGUUGUCCGGAAUUAUUGGGCGUAAAGCGCGCGUAGGCGGCUCUUCAAGUCGAGUGUGAAAGCUCCAGGCUUAACCUGGGAAUUGCGCUUGAUACUGUUGAGCUAGAGUGUGGAAGGGGCUACUGGAAUUCCGUGCGUAGCGGUGAAAUGCGUAGAUAUGCGGAGGAACACCUGCGGCGAAGGCGGGUAGCUGGGCCAACACUGACGCUGAUGUGCGAAAGCUAGGGGAGCAGACGGG